RNAcentral lists this ribosomal RNA (253 nucleotides) under uncultured bacterium. RNAcentral describes it as "partial 16S ribosomal RNA". It matches the Rfam family "Bacterial small subunit ribosomal RNA", at positions 524 to 776 of the family's 1533-position model. The record is from RNAcentral.
UACGGGGGGGGCAAGCGUUGUUCGGAAUUAUUGGGCGUAAAGCGCGUGUAGGCGGCUUUGCAAGUCGGGUGUGAAAGCCCUCAGCUUAACUGAGGAAGUGCGCCCGAAACUGCAUGGCUUGAGUGCCGGAGAGGAUGGCGGAAUUCCCGAAGUAGAGGUGAAAUUCGUAGAUAUCGGGAGGAACACCGGUGGCGAAGGCGGCCAUCUGGACGGUAACUGACGCUGAGACGCGAAAGCGUGGGUAGCAAACAGG